UACGAGGGGGGCGAGCGUUGUUCGGAAUUACUGGGCGUAAAGGGCGCGCAGGCGGCUCUGAAAGUCAGAUGUGAAAGCCCCGGGCUUAACCUGGGAAUUGCAUUUGAUACUCUGGAGCUUGAGUACGGGAGAGGAGAGUGGAAUUCCCAGUGUAGAGGUGAAAUUCGUAGAUAUUGGGAAGAACACCGGUGGCGAAGGCGGCUCUCUGGACCGUAACUGACGCUGAGGCGCGAAAGCGUGGGGAGCAAACAGG
RNAcentral lists this ribosomal RNA (253 nucleotides) under uncultured bacterium. Its description in RNAcentral is "partial 16S ribosomal RNA". It matches the Rfam family "Bacterial small subunit ribosomal RNA", at positions 524 to 776 of the family's 1533-position model. The record is from RNAcentral.